RNAcentral lists this small RNA (1670 nucleotides) under Arabidopsis thaliana (thale cress). RNAcentral's name for it is "ATSL164470". The record is from RNAcentral. Lineage: Eukaryota; Viridiplantae; Streptophyta; Magnoliopsida; Brassicales; Brassicaceae.
GGAUAGCUCUCUCUGGGCUUUUCGAAAAGGUAUCACAUGCCAAGUUUGGCCUCACGGUCUAAAAGUUAUAAAGUCAUACAUUUUUAACAAAAAAAAAAGAGAAAAACCGAAAAAAAGAGUUAUGAACCACGAGGACUUUCCUGGAGGUCACCCGUCCUAGUACUACUCUCGCCCAAACACGCUUAACUGCGGUGUUCUGAUAGGAUCAAGUGCAUUAGUGCUGGUAUGAUCGCAUCAGUUACUACAUGCAAUGCAAUCAUAUAUAUUCUUUUUUGAAGACUUUAUGAUCCAUUUGCCGUAGGUCCCACCAGCUAUGUAGGAAUACCCUAUCUUGUUUAUAAGAGCUUUGAUACAUGCAAAAUAUUCGAAAACAAUGUCCGAACAUAUAAUUUUUGUCCCGUAAUAUAGCAAAGAUCACGAAAAGGCCAAAAAAAAUACAUUUCGGUCAAAAUUUGGAGUAGAAAAAAACCCCUUCCUCAUUCAUUGGACAGCUCUCUUUGGGCUUUCCGAAAAGGUAUCACAUGCCAAGUUUGGUCUCACGGUCUAAAAGUUAUAGAGUCAUACAUUUUUCAGAAAAAAAAGAAGAGAAAAAACCAAAAAAAGAGUGAUGAAACACGAGGACUUUCUUGGAGGCCACCCAUCCUAGUACUACUCUCGCCCAAGCACGCUUAACUGCGAAGUUCUGAUGGGAUCUGGUGCAUUAGUGAUGGUAUGAUCGCAUCUGUUACUACAUGCAAUGCAAUCGUAUCUAUUCUUUUUUGAAGAUUUUAUGAUCCAUUUGCAGUGGGUCCCACCAGCUAUGUAGGAAUACCCUAUCUUGUUUAUAAGAGCUUUGAUACAUGCAAAAUAUUCGAAAACAAUGUCCGAACAUAUAAUUUUCGCCCCGUAAUAUAGCAAAGAUCACGAAAAUGCCGAAAUAGUACAUUAAGGUCAAAAUUUGGAGUAGGAAAAAAAAACCUUCCUCAUUCAUUGGAGAGCUCUCUUUGGGUUUUCCGAAAAGGUAUCACAUGCCAAGUUUGGCCUCACGGUCUAAAAGUUAUAAAGUCAUACAUUUUUAACAAAAAAAAAAAGAGAAAAACCGAAAAAAAGAGUUAUGCAACACGAGGACUUUCCUGGAGGUCACCCGUCCUAGUACUACUCUCGCCCAAACACGCUUAACUACGGUGUUCUGAUAGGAUCAAGUGCAUUAGUGCUGGUAUGAUCGCAUCAGUUACUACAUGCAAUGCAAUCAUAUAUAUUCUUUUUUGAAGACUUCAUGAUCCAUUUGCCGUAGGUCCCACCAGCUAUGUAGGAAUACCCUAUCUUGUUUAUAAGAGCUUUGAUACAUGCAAAAUAUUCGAAAACAAUGUCCGAACAUAUAAUUUUUGUCCCGUAAUAUAGCAAAGAUCACGAAAAGGCCAGAAAAAAUAAAUUUCGGUCAAAAUUUAGAGUAGAAAAAAACCCCUUCCUCAUUCAUUGGACAACUCUCUUUGGGCUUUCCGAAAAGGUAUCACAUGCCAAGUUUGGCCUCACGGUCUAAAAGUUAUAGAGUCAUACAUUUUUCACAAAAAAAAGAAGAGAAAAACCAAAAAAAAGAGUGAUGAAACACGAGGACUUUCCUGGAGGUCACCCAUCCUAGUACUACUCUCGCCCAAGCACGCUUAACGGCGGUGUUCUGAUAGGAUCAAUUA